UACGUAGGGAGCGAGCGUUAUCCGGAUUUACUGGGUGUAAAGGGCGAGUAGGCGGGCUUACAAGUCAGUUGUGAAAUCCGGGGGCUUAACCCCCGGCCUGCAAUUGAAACUGUGAGUCUUGAGUGAUGGAGAGGCAGGCGGAAUUCCCAGUGUAGCGGUGAAAUGCGUAGAUAUUGGGAGGAACACCAGUGGCGAAGGCGGCCUGCUGGACAUUAACUGACGCUGAGGCGCGAAAGCGUGGGGAGCAAAC
RNAcentral lists this ribosomal RNA (250 nucleotides) under uncultured bacterium. RNAcentral describes it as "partial 16S ribosomal RNA". It matches the Rfam family "Bacterial small subunit ribosomal RNA", at positions 524 to 773 of the family's 1533-position model. The record is from RNAcentral.